RNAcentral lists this ribosomal RNA (160 nucleotides) under uncultured bacterium. RNAcentral's name for it is "partial 16S ribosomal RNA". It matches the Rfam family "Bacterial small subunit ribosomal RNA", at positions 355 to 507 of the family's 1533-position model. The record is from RNAcentral.
UGGGGAAUUUUGCGCAAUGGGCGAAAGCCUGACGCGGCAACGCCGCGUGGAGGAUGAAGGCCCUUGGGUUGUAAACUCCUGUCAGCGGGGAAGAAAUACUCUGACCUAAUACGUCAGAGGAUUGACUGUACCCGCAGAGGAAGCCCCGGCUAACUCUGUG